AUCUCACUUGUACAGAGUAGGAAACUACGGCUUAGCAAGAUUUUUGUUCAAGGUCAUUUGGCUAAUAAAUGACAGUGCUAGAACUUUAAAUACCACAACCACCUGGUAAAAAGUGCUGUGGGUGUUGGUCUGGAAUACACCCAGAUAACCAGCCUCCCUGACUCCAAGGCCUGGGUCGUUAACCUCUUCACCAUAUUCAGUAGCUGGGUAAGUGAAGGAGGAAGGGAGGAUAUUGCUGACAGAAUAAACUAUAUAUAGAAUAGAAGAAUGAGGACUUCAGGCGUGGUUGGAGCCUGACAUUUCUUUUUCCUGUGUGGAUAUCAUGGUAUUUGUGGACAGGGAUUUGGCUGAAAAGUUUAGUUGAGGUAACAAUAAGGAGUACCUUGCCUAACGUGGACUUCCAUCAACAGGCCUCUGGUUGUCAGACAGGGACAUCCAUACCAGUGAGGAUCAUCAAUAUGAAAGGCGUCAUCAGUCUUAACCAGUUGCUAUUACCCCUGUAUGCACACAAGUUGAACCUAAUGGCAUUAAAAGAAAAGUAGGAGACAUCCCAUCUACACAAUACAGCCCAAAUGAUCAGCUGCAUUCCUGCACAGCCAUCUCUUCAGUAUAUAUAAAUGAAGGAGAAGAGCAGUAUGAUUUUAUUACCAAAUUCACAAAAGGGACAAGCUGUGAAACGUCUAGAUUCCAGAGCAACAGACUGUGAUCCAUUCCCAGCAACCCCUCCCUACCGUCUGCCACAAGCUCCCAUAAAGCAGGAAUCAGAGCUAGACUGGCUCAGCUUAGGUAAGAAGUGAGGCUUCAUGUGAAAAAGACUACACCUACAAAACAAAUUCUCAAAUAUAUGAUACAUGCUAAGAUUUUGAACUUGACCCAGAAGUUUGUGGUAUACACACAAAUACAUAUACACAUGCACACGGUCAUAUACCUAUGCUUAAAAUUAUUUUUAGUGCUUUCCAAUUAAAAGCAUAAAUUACUCCAUAAAAAGCUUGCACAUUUUAAAGUAUAAUUUUAUAAAAAUAUAAAUAUAGAAAAGUAGAUGUAUCAUAAGUAUGUAGAUAAAUGAUUUUCCACAAAAUAUAAUGGAACAUUAUCAAUAUCCUGGAAAAGUGCCUUAUUCUCUCCUAGCCACUACAUUUUCCCUGUGGCUAACAACUAUUCUAACUGCUAACACCAUGAGUUAGGAUUGACUGUUUUUGAAAUUUAUAUAAGUAGAAGCAUAUGAUAUAUGCUGCAUUUUUGUUGCCUAACAUUUUGUGAAUUUUAUCCAUGACUUCUAUAUAGUAAUGGUUUACCUAUUUUCAUUACAUUGCAUUGAAUGAACAUACCCCAUAUUAACCUUUCUAUUAUUGAUGGCCACAUGGUUUGUUUCCACUGUUGACUAUUACAAAUAGUGUUACCUGUAUUUUAGUGAACAUAUUUUUGUUGGAUAUAUAUACAUCAAAGAAUAGAACUCCAGAGUCAUAGGCUCAGCUUUAUAAUAUAGUGCUUAAUACUUUAUCAAAUUGGUUGUAUGAAUUUACAUUUCUACCAACAGUAUCUGAGAGUACUAUUUACCUGGUGUCUUUACUGACACUUGUUUGUCAUUUAUUUUUGCCAUUCUGGUGUGCAUUUAGUAUUAAGCCAUUGAAUAUCUUAUCAUAUGCAUAUUGGCCAUUGAAAUAUCCUUUUCCUUUUCCCAUGAAUAGACUAUUCAACUUUUUGUCUAUUUUUAAAUUGGAUUUUUUUCUAUAGAAUAUAUUUUUAGAGUAAUUUUAGGUACACAACAGUCAAGUGGAAAGUAUGAAUAGUUCCCCUAUGCUUCGUCAUCUCACAUACGCACAGCCUCCCCGACCAUCAACAUCUUGCACCUGGCUGGUACAUUUGUUACAACUGAUAACCAACACUGACAUGUUAUUAUAAAAUAAAGUCCAAAGUUUACACCAGCGUUCACUCUUGAUUUACAUUCUAUGGGUUUUGACAAAUGUGUAGUGAUAUAUAUCCACUAUUAUGGUAUCAGAAUAGUUUCACUGCCCUAAAAAUCCCCUAUGCUAUACCUAUUCAUUCUUCCCUGCCCUCUAACCCUGGAAAUCAUUGAUCGUUUUACUGUCUCCAUAAUUUUGCCUUUUCCAGGAUAUCAUAUGGUUGGAAUCUUUUAUUUCAUUUUACUUAAUGGUAUUUAGCCUUUUCAGAUUGGCUUCUUUCACUUAGUAACAUGCAUUUAAGGUUGUUUCACAACUCUUUGUGGUUUGAUAGCUCAGAAUUUUUGAUGCUGGAUAAUAUUCUGUUGUAUGAAUGUGUCCCAGAUUAUUUAUCCAUUCACCCUCUAAAGUACAUCUUGUUUACUUCCAAGUUUUGGCAAUUACGAAUGAGGCUGCUAUAAAC
Long non-coding RNA from Macaca mulatta (Rhesus monkey), 2364 nucleotides. The record is from Ensembl. NCBI's taxonomy places the organism in Eukaryota, Metazoa, Chordata, Mammalia, Primates, Cercopithecidae.